UAUACAAAAAAAUUAUAUACAAAUUAUAUUUAUAUUUAAAUUUCAACCCCAUAUACCCAUUUAUAAAUAUUAGAAUAAAAAUGUAAAAAGCUAUUUUUUAUUCCCUGUAACGUAUUUUAAUGGAAUUAAAUAAAUUUUAACAAAUCGAGAUCGUUAAUAUAGCGUGGGACGAUUAUUUAAACGACGACCAUUUUUGGUAAAAACCCCUACAUUUUUACGUUAUUUUCAAUUAUAUAAGUUUAUUAAAAUAACUCGUCCGAAUUUAAACUGUAAAUUGCGGAGGGGCUGGUCGUUUUACCAGUUUAAAAUUUGCAAUAAAAAAUAUAAUUUUAAUUAUUAUAAUUUCAAGAUGGGUUUCCAUUUUUUCAACCAAAUUUUCGACGUUGGUAACAAAUGUUUUUGUUUUUUUACCCUGUCUUUCCAAAAGGACGAUAACCUAAGGUUUUGCAGUUUUGUUUUUGCCAAAAUUUUCAAUUUCCGCAAAAUAAUAUUUUUAAAUCGAGUUUCCAUAUAAUUAAUACGCAUUUUUUACUAUAUUAAUAUUUGUUUGCGUCCCAUUACCGUUCGUAUAAUAAAUAUGUAUUUUUUUUUUACAACCAAUGGCCGCAAAUUAUUUGGCCAAGGUAUAAAUUAAAUUUGCGUUUAUUAGGUGCCAAAAUUAUUUUCAAACCAUUAAUCCUAUUUUAAUUAAUAUUAAUCCUACAAAUGUUUUCGCCAAACCAGUAAAUUACGCGUUUUCAGGUAUUAUUCCGGUAAUAUUUAACCGCUGUACCUAAUCCACCUCCCGUUUAUUUACGAAAAUUAUUAUAUUUUAUUAUUAUUUGUUUAUUAGUUAUUUAUUCCAUCGUUAACCCGAAAAUACAAAUUGAAAAAUUGAAUUUUAGGAUUUUAACAAAUAUCGGCUGUCGCCCGGUUAAAUGGGAAUAUUUUUUAUUUUUGCCGCCUGUUUCCAAAAUAUACUAUUCUCCAUAAUAAAAAAAAUAUUGGCAGUUUUUAGCUUUAGUUUAUUGGGGCCAAUAGUUGGUAAAAAUACCUAUUAGAAAUUUUUAUGGGAAUGGGCUAAUAACCCCGCAAAUUUAUUUGCAGUUUGGUGGCAAUUUGCUUACGCGGGAUUCGUUCCCCAAAGUUCUUUAUUUAAUUUUUUCCAAAAAUUUGGUAUAAUCUGGGGUCGAUUUUAAUUUGCAAAAAUCCAAGUUAUAAUAUUGCGUACCCCUGUUCGGCGCCCUGAAAAUCUAAUAACAAAAUGCCUGCUUUUAUAAAUUAAUUUAAAUACAAAAUUAUUAACGCACAAAAAUAUAAUCGUUUUUAGGUUAUUCCGGUUUAUUAACCUUUUUUUUAUUAGUUAAAAAUUCCAAAUCUUUUAUAUUAUUUUUUUAAAAUCCAAUAACGUUUUAUUUGCUAAUUAAAAACUCGUUUGGAUCCGGAACCACCCUUUUCCUUUUUACCGGCCGUAUUACCUCCAAUUGUGCUUCCAAUAUUUCCGCAGGACAGAUUUUGGAAUCGCAUAAUUCCCAAAUGCACCAAAAUAUUAAUACAGAAAUUUAAAACAUUCCUUAAAUAAAUUAAAUUAAUAAAAGUUCGCCCAACGACUAUAUCCACGCUAAAAUAUAAAAAGGGUGCGAUGUUUGAAAAAUUUUAUAUCCGCAAAAUUGCCUUAUAUUACGGCCAGGUAUACCUUGGAAAACCUUAAUAUAUUAGACGUUAUCGACGAAAAUUUUAAAUUGAGGAAAAAGAGAAAUUA
Molecule: small RNA, 1741 nt
Filed under: Pyricularia oryzae
Lineage: Eukaryota; Fungi; Ascomycota; Sordariomycetes; Magnaporthales; Pyriculariaceae
Description: Magnaporthe oryzae sRNA M_BR32_EuGene_00127831
Source: RNAcentral